Molecule: ribosomal RNA, 373 nt
Filed under: uncultured bacterium
Lineage: Bacteria
Description: bacterial SSU rRNA
Rfam family: Bacterial small subunit ribosomal RNA
Source: RNAcentral
ACGUAGGGCGCAAGCGUUGUCCGGAAUUAUUGGGCGUAAAGAGCUCGUAGGUCGUUUGUUACGUCGGAUGUGAAAACCUGAGGCUCAACCUCAGGCCUGCAUUCGAUACGGGCAAACUAGAGUUUGGUAGGGGAGACUGGAAUUCCUGGUGCAGCGGUGGAAUGCGCAGAUAUCAGGAGGAACACCAAUGGCGAAGGCAGGUCUCUGGGCCAUUACUGACACUGAGGAGCGAAAGCGUGGGGAGCGAACAGGAUUAGAUACCCUGGUAGUCCACGCCGUAAACGGUGGGCACUAGUUGUGGGAACCUUCCACGGUUUCUGCGACGCAGCUAACGCAUUAAGUGCCCCGCCUGGGGAGUACGAUCGCAAGAUUA